RNAcentral lists this ribosomal RNA (228 nucleotides) under uncultured Lactobacillus sp. RNAcentral's name for it is "partial 16S ribosomal RNA". It matches the Rfam family "Bacterial small subunit ribosomal RNA", at positions 134 to 354 of the family's 1533-position model. Lineage: Bacteria; Bacillati; Bacillota; Bacilli; Lactobacillales; Lactobacillaceae. The record is from RNAcentral.
UAGUCUGGGAUACCACUUGGAAACAGGUGCUAAUACCGGAUAAGAAAGCGGAUCGCAUGAUCAGCUUUUAAAAGGCGGCGUAAGCUGUCGCUAUGGGAUGGCCCCGCGGUGCAUUAGCUAGUUGGUAAGGUAAAGGCUUACCAAGGCGAUGAUGCAUAGCCGAGUUGAGAGACUGAUCGGCCACAUUGGGACUGAGACACGGCCCAAACUCCUACGGGAGGCAGCAGG